CACGCCCACAAAAAAAAAAAAAACUGCCACUCACAAUGAAAAAUGAAAAGUGUUAAAUGCAUAUUUUUCUAAGAUGCCCCAGGCUGUCUCUACAUGUCCUCCGUCAACAAGUUUAAUGUAGUUCAGGAUCUCACAAAUUUGACAUCAAAAAUAUCAAAACAUUUUUCAAAAGUGUGUUUUAUGUGUUCUCCGGCCGAAGAAAAAAGCGCCUUCUGCGCGUCCAAAAAUGACGCAGAGGGGAUCUCGUCCGUGGGAUCCUCUGGGCUGCUGCUGGGGGGCACCACGCUUACCCCCGCAAAUGCUGCAGACAGCUCCUCCUGGCCGUCCUCCACCGGUGUGCUCGCGCGUUGCCUGAAAAAGGCAAAAUAUAAAAUAAUUAUUUUACAAUAGAAAUUAACAAUAAGAUUCACUUACCUGCGGUGCACUAACCCCUCCAAAAACCGCAGACUCUCCCUCCACGGCCACCUCGAGUCCACCCUGUCCACCUCCUUGUUGAAUUGGUGGCGCAGCUGCGACCACCUUUUCUUGCACUUUCUGGCUGCAAAAAUAUAAGAAUUGCAUUAUUACAUACACUUAA
Molecule: long non-coding RNA, 577 nt
Organism: Drosophila yakuba
Lineage: Eukaryota; Metazoa; Arthropoda; Insecta; Diptera; Drosophilidae
Exons: 2
Source: RefSeq, a predicted model, not a curated record